AUUGAACGCUGGCGGCAUGCCUUACACAUGCAAGUCGAACGGCAGCGCGGGAGCAAUCCUGGCGGCGAGUGGCGAACGGGUGAGUAAUAUAUCGGAACGUGCCCAGUAGUGGGGGAGUAGCCCGGCCGAAAGACCGGAUUAAUACCGCAUGAGACCUGAGGGUGAAAGCGGGGGAGUCGCAAGACCUCGCGCUAUUGGAGCGGCCGAUAUCAGAUUAGCUAGUUGGUGAGGUAAAGGCCCACCAAGGCGACGAUCGAUAGCUGGUCUGAGAGGAUGAUCAGCCACACUGGAACUGAGACACGGUCCAGGACUCCUACGGGAGGCAGCAGUAGGGAAUAUUGGACAAUGGGGGCGAACCCUGAUCCAGCCAUGCCGCGUGAGUGAAGAAGGCCCUCGGGUUGUAAAGCUCUUUUGUCCGGAAAGAAAGCAAUCGGUUAAUACCCGGUUGUUCUGACGGUACCGGAAGAAUAAGCACCGGCUAACUUCGU
RNAcentral lists this ribosomal RNA (488 nucleotides) under uncultured bacterium. RNAcentral's name for it is "bacterial SSU rRNA". It matches the Rfam family "Bacterial small subunit ribosomal RNA", at positions 29 to 506 of the family's 1533-position model. The record is from RNAcentral.